GGGGCUAGGGAGUAAUUCAUAUGGGAGUAGGGGACUAGGGAGUAAUUCAUAGGGGAGUAGGGAGUAAUUCAUAGGGGAGUAGGGGACUAGAGAGUAAUUCAUAGGGGAGUAGGGAGUAAUUCAUAGGGGAGGGAGGGGCUAGGGAGUAAUUCAUAGGGGAGUAGGGAGUAAUUCAUAGGGGAGUAGGGGGCUAGGGAGUAAUUCAUAGGGGAGUAGGGGACUAGGGAGUAAUUCAUAGGGGGGAGUAGGGGGCUAGGGAGUAAUUCAUACCGGGAAGGGGACUAGGGAGUAAUUCAUACGGGAGUAGGGGACUAGGGAGUAAUUCAUACGGGAGUAGGGGACUAGGGAGUAAUUCAUAGGGGAGUAGGGGGCUAGGGAGUAAUUCAUAGGGGAGUAGGGGGCUAGGGAGUAAUUCAUACGGGAGUAGGGGCUAGGGGGUAAAACGACUGAGUGAGAUUAUAGGUGAGAGGUUAGGAUUUUGAUACAGUAGUGAAACCAUGAGAAUCCAAGACAUGGGGUCAGUAAAGCUUGUCCACUAGUACUUUACGGGGACAGUGAAAGAGUUAACUUCCAAAGGGUUAGAUGAGGCAGUAUCAGGCCUUAACUACAUACAGUGCUUAUAGAAAGUCUACACCCCCUUCAACUUUUUCACAUUUUGUUUGUCAGUGCCUCAGUUUCAUGCAUUUUUACAAAUAUAUCUACACGCCAUACUCUACACUUAAGGACAUUUUUUUUUAUAGUGAAAAAAGUAUUUAUUAAAAAUACAAAACUUAAAUAUCAUAAUUGGACAUGUCUCCACCCCCCUGAGUUAAUACUUGGUGGAAGCACCUUAGGCAGCCAUUACAGCAGUCUGUUGGGUUAGGUCUCAACCAACUUUGCACACCUAGAUUUGGCAAUAUUUGACCAUUCUUCUUUAUAAAACUGCUCAAGCUCUGUCAAGCUCCUUUGGGAGCAUAGAUGGACACCAAUCUUCAAUCUUACAUUUUUAAUUAAAUUUAGGUGGGACGCUCUGACUGGGCCACUCAAGGACAUUUACCUUUUUAUACCUUAAUCACUCCACCGUAGCUUUGGCUGUGUGCUUCAGGUCGUUGUCAUGCUGAAAAGGGGAACUUCCGUCCCAGUUUCAGCUUUCUUGCAGAGGGUAGCAGGUUUUCCUCAAGGACUUUUCUGUACAUUGCUUCAUUCAUUGCCCCUUCUAUCCUGAUAAGUGAGAAAAGUGAUGAUCUCUCUGUACUUUGCUCUGUUCAUCUUUCCCUUGAUCCUGACUAGUCUCCCAGAACCUGCCAAUGAAAAACCUCCCCAUAACAUGAUGCUACCACCACCAUGCUUCACAGUAGGGACGGUGUUCUUUGGGUGAUGGGUUUGCGGGUAUGAUGGGUAUUGG
Molecule: long non-coding RNA, 1384 nt
Organism: Oncorhynchus tshawytscha (Chinook salmon)
Lineage: Eukaryota; Metazoa; Chordata; Actinopteri; Salmoniformes; Salmonidae
Source: Ensembl